Molecule: long non-coding RNA, 2426 nt
Organism: Neopsephotus bourkii (Bourke's parrot)
Lineage: Eukaryota; Metazoa; Chordata; Aves; Psittaciformes; Psittacidae
Exons: 3
Source: RefSeq, a predicted model, not a curated record
AGGAUGUUUCCCAGAGAGGUUCAACAAUGAUACCUGUUUGCUGCUUUUUAGGUUUUAGAGAAAACAAGCAGCAAGGCAGCUGAGUUAGAAUAAACUGUAGAUAAGUACAGACUUACAUGCUCUAAGUCCUCAUAAAGAAAUGUCUAAAUUACCUUUAAAAAACCUCCUACCAGUGCCAGCAGCAGCAUGUUUGUUACCCUGUCACUAGGAUGAGCUUAGAUGCCCCUCCCUUUAUGCCGGUGGUUUGGGUGUAACUGAUACUACUUGUAUGAGGAAUGUUAAAUAAAGGGAGAAAACCUCUUGUUUUUUAGAAUAUAGUUGUUGUUUUUUUAGAAAUACCCAUCUUUUUAGAAAGGUCUUUCUGAAUUAAAGGAGGAUUUGGUACUUUGUGCUUUUCUGAAGGCCUGGGAGGUGCCCUGCAAUAUAAAAAGGUGACAUUAAUUUUUGGCCAACUGUGCUGGUCCAGGUAUGCAGAGUAUCUUUAGGAAAUGCAAAAAUAAAAGGGAAAGCAUGUGAAGUGCUAAUUAAACCAUUUCUUUAGUAUUUUGUUGUUGCAUUUCAUUGAAGAGCUUUGGUAUGUAAAAAACAUUAUUUAAUAAAGUAUUAAUUUAAAAGAAGAAUGCAUGGAGAUCCAAUUAUUUGCAGUAGCUUUUUGUUGCCUCCCUCUUCAUGCACCAUGCAUCCUGGAAGCAAAGGUAUGAUUCCUAGUCCCGGUGUCAGAAUUUUCCCUUUUCCAUCCUAGCUGAUGAAGUGAGUCACCUGUGUGUAUUUCUAUCAAUUUCUAUUUCAUAAAGACUGAAAUGUUAACUGUUAAGCAGCUCUUUUCUUGUUUCUUUGGUUAUGCUGGAAGAGGAGCACUAAAGAAUCAAAAAACAAAUUUAAUGUUAAGAAAGAACCACUUUCAUAGGCCCUCCCAAAGAUCCUGAAAUAUCUGCAUGUUUCUCUUCUAGUUUAGAAUGUGACUGAGACAGCACAUGAUGUGUUGCCUGAUGCAAGAACUGUGUUCAGUUAAUGCAUAUUGCCAAGUUUGUGUCUGCAAACAGGAGCUUGAUUUGCAGUGUCUGGGCUGUGACUGAUCAUAUUCAGUCACAAAGGGGGCCAACAAACAGCUGCAUAAAUGUCUGGUAGAAUACAGGAAAUCGUCUUGAGGUUUUUGAUCAAUGAUUUCGAAACAAGGACAGUCAGACAUAGGCUGUAAGAUUAAACCAGCCUGAAUCCAUCCUCAUUUGUAAUAAAAAGUUAAAUAUUUUGGAACGCUCUGACUUUUCCCAGUCCACCCACUCUUGUAAAAAUCCCAUGCAGCUGGAUUUGGUGGUGACACCAAGAUUCUGGUAAACUGUCAGAAUGGUCCCUCUGGUUUGUCAGGGCUUCCUGAUUUGUUUCACUGGUUUGUUACCUCCUCAUCUGUUGGGUUACAAAGCAAUAAAGGCUGCACUUAUUAUACUGCUUAUCUCAGAUAGCACUUCCUCUCUGUUCAUGCCCAUUCAUAGUUACAUACGACAUGCAGUAUUAUUUUCAGCUAUAUUUGGCUUGCAUGUAAUCCAACUUUCCAGCUCCUCUCUGUGUUAUGUAAAUACAACAGCAGGAGAAGCCGCCUUUAGUCCUCUUGUGCCAGGAGGGCACAGUGAACAUCAACAUGGACAUGUUCCUGAAGACCAAAACUGUUUUCUGGAAGUCUGCUCACAGAUUUCAUGAUCCAUCUGUUUUCUGUAGAAUGCAGUUAUUUAAAGCAACAAGUUCACUUCAGAGACGUAGUACAGUAGCUGCUGUUUCUGUUGACUUUUCUGAUGAGGCUCAAUAUUGUCUAUUUUCCAUUAUAUCUCAACACUGCCUUUAAUUGCCUCUUUCCAACAGAUUUACAUAUUAUCCCUCCCGGCUGUUCACACACAGAUUUCCCUUUACUUGGCAACCUUCCAGUCACUCCGUACUAAAGACAGAGGUACUAAAUCAGCAAAGCAGUUGAUGAGAGUCAAAAUAAAACUACAUUAUACUACGUGGCCUACAGAUGACUGAACAAUUAAACAACAGCAUCUGAGACUGUCGCCAGAAGUUCUCUUCCUUUUCUUAUGACAGCUCAUUUUAAGCAUUUUUGGGCAGGAAUUGGCUUCGUAACCCUGAUACUUGGGGCACUUGGGGAAGCAGAGACACUCCCUGGAGAACCACACAGGUCAUUCACAUGGCCAGGCUGACUCAGCAGUAAGUCUACACAUGUCCAACUGCAAAUAUGUCAACUAAACAGCAACACAUGUAAGCAAAGAGGCACUUUGUAUAUAUGCUGCAGAACAAAGGAAGAGAAAGUCAGCUGAAUGGUUUGGGGAAGUAAUGAAAGCAACUCAGCAAAUUCACAAAUCAAAUAUUUAGUGUCCUUCAAUUUUUUCAUUUUCUGUGAAACAGGUUUAUUUCACAAGCUGCACACAGUGAUAAAU